CGGCGAGCCCGGGGCGGGCUGUGAUGCGGGCGGUGCUCCUCGUGCGGCGGCGGUAUAGGGACGAGCGCCGCGGUGAGUACAGCCAGCUGAGUGCCGCCGCCGCCCGGAGUCCGCCGCCUCCGGCCCGCUCCCGCUGCUCUGCGCCCGCUCGGCCCGUCAGCUAGCCUGAGAGCGGCCUCCGUGAGAGGGGCGCCUGGCCGGACCCUGAGCUUCGCGCCCGCGCGCUGCGGCCGUCCGCGCCUCCUCGGCCGCCUGUCCGGCAUGAAGACCAAGUUCUGUAACGGAGGCGAGGCGGAGCCCUCGCCGCUCGGCCUGUUGCUGAGCUGUGGCGGCGGCAGCGCGGCCCCGGCGCCCGGCCUGGGGCAGCAGCGCGACGCCGCCAGCGACCUCGAGCCCAAGCAGCUGGGCGGUCGGCAGCCGCCGCUCGCGUUGCCCCCGCCGCCGCCGGCCGACGAGCCGCCCGAGCCCCGGACGCGGCACAGGGCCUAUUUGUGGUGCAAGGAGUUUCUGCCCGGCGCCUGGCGGGGCCUUCGCGAGGACCAGUUCCACAUCAGUGUUAUCAGAGGUGGCCUCAGUAACAUGCUGUUCCAGUGCUCCUUACCCGACACCAUGGCCGCCAUUGGCGAUGAGCCUCGGAAAGUGCUCCUGCGGCUGUACGGGCCGAUUUUAAAGAUGAGGUCCUGUAAUAAAGAGGAAUCCGAACAAGCUCAGAAAGAAAAUGAAUUCCAAGGUGCCGAGGCCAUGGUUCUGGAGAGCGUUAUGUUUGCCAUUCUUGCAGAGAGGUCACUUGGACCAAAGCUCUACGGCAUCUUUCCCCAAGGCCGCCUGGAGCAGUUUAUCCCGAGCCGGCGGUUAGACACUGAAGAGUUAAGUUUGUCAGAUAUUUCUGCAGAAAUAGCUGAGAAAAUGGCCACAUUUCAUGGUAUGAAAAUGCCAUUCAAUAAGGAACCAAAAUGGCUUUUUGGAACAAUGGAAAAAUACCUAAACCAAGUGGUGAGAAUUAAGUUUACGGGGGAAUCCAAAGUUAAACAGCUGCACAAAUUCCUCAGUUACAAUUUGCCUUUGGAACUGGAAAAUCUGAGGUCAUUACUUGAAUCCACUCCAUCACCAGUUGUAUUUUGCCAUAAUGACUGUCAAGAAGGUAACAUCUUACUGUUGGAUGGCAGAGAGAAUUCCGAAAAACAGAGACUGAUGCUCAUCGACUUUGAAUAUAGCAGUUACAAUUAUAGGGGAUUUGACAUUGGGAAUCAUUUCUGUGAGUGGAUGUACGAUUAUAGCUAUGAAACAUACCCUUUUUUCAAAGCAAACAUGCUGAAGUAUCCCAACAGGAAACAACAGCUCCAUUUUAUUUCCAAUUACUUGGCUGCAUUCCAAAAUGAAUUUGAAAACCUCAGUAAUGAAGACAAGUCUGUUAUAGAAGAAGAAAUGUUGAUUGAAGUCAAUAGGUUUGCCCUUGCCUCCCAUUUCUUCUGGGGACUUUGGUCCAUUGUACAGGCCAAGAUUUCAUCCAUUGAAUUUGGAUACAUGAGGGUUACCGGUUCCCCACAAGGAUCUGGACAAGGUGACCUGGCAGCAGUAUAGUAGGCUCAGCCCAGAAAGCUGAGGGAGAAAGGGUGCAUAAUUUAAACCACUUUAUUGAUGCUGCAUCUGCCCUUGGAGGGUGCCGGCAGUCCCUGCCCUCCCUGCCCGGACUUCAGAGGUCCGGCCCCGACCUCAGUCCCCUCACAUGGGGACGCAGAGUGAAGGAGCGUGGGCUGCAUGGCCGUGCCGCGCGGCGUUUUGUUCAUCUGCUCCAGUCCAGUCUCUGGCCCGCGGCACCCAGCUUAGAGUUGGAAGCUGAUGCUGAUUGAAUUAGGCUUUCUAUUUGUUGUAGGACUAUGCCCAAGCUCGGUUUGAUGCUUACUUCGCCCAGAAGAGGAAGCUCGGGGUGUGAUGGUGGGGCGGACCCCUCGCGCUGCACCUGGACGGUGUGGGCAGCUGCGCCAGCGGGCCUGAGCCCGGUACCGCACCUGGGGCUGGAAGGUGUCGGGGGGCUUGCUGCCCGGCACAGAUGUGUAUGAUACAAAAGACUGUAUUUACAACUGAGUGACAUUUAUUUCCUAUCUUGUUUACGAUUUACUGGGACUCUGCGGUGAGAUUGGGAAGCAGAACUAGAAUACAGCAGCGCGAUACCUCGGGAUCCUUGUGACGCAGAGAAGUCAUUUAUAUCUGGGGCCUGCAGCCCCCGGUCAGACUAGACAGCAAGAGUAACAGGGUUCCUGCAGGGGCUUUUUUUGCCCAAUGUUGAUUUUUAAAAGUAUUUUAAUUAACAUGCUGGUGAACACUGUGACCAGGCCCUCUAGGUGACUGUGUGUAGACACUGCCCGCUCCCCAGUGGCGAGCGAGCAGAGAUUGACUGUGACGUUGCUUUGCGGCCUGACCUCAUCUCCAAAAGCUGCUCCUUCACCCUUUAGGUCCAAAUGUCUGACGCUCAAGUUGGCAGGCUGCACAUGACAUACGCGAGCUGCUGCCUGCGCAGCAAGGAUGACUGUAGCUCCUUGGGGCCUGUUAUACUUUGUCAUGCUGAUGAAUCUCACCCUGGAGGCAGCCUGGCCGUGCCCUCCUCCUGACUGAACAAGCCGUAUGAACCCCAGCUCUGGAGCAGGCAGGGAGCCAUGGCCACAGAGGGCCACCGACG
This is an RNA transcript of Manis javanica (Malayan pangolin), 2677 nucleotides long. It is a transcript of the gene named choline kinase alpha, with no coding region annotated. The record is from RefSeq and is a predicted model, not a curated record. NCBI's taxonomy places the organism in Eukaryota, Metazoa, Chordata, Mammalia, Pholidota, Manidae.